This 321-nucleotide ribosomal RNA is filed under the name uncultured Pseudomonas sp. RNAcentral describes it as "bacterial SSU rRNA". It matches the Rfam family "Bacterial small subunit ribosomal RNA", at positions 1061 to 1382 of the family's 1533-position model. Lineage: Bacteria; Pseudomonadati; Pseudomonadota; Gammaproteobacteria; Pseudomonadales; Pseudomonadaceae. The record is from RNAcentral.
CGUGUCGUGAGAUGUUGGGUUAAGUCCCGUAACGAGCGCAACCCUUGUCCUUAGUUACCAGCACGUUAUGGUGGGCACUCUAAGGAGACUGCCGGUGACAAACCGGAGGAAGUGGGGAUGACGUCAAGUCAUCAUGGCCCUUACGGCCUGGGCUACACACGUGCUACAAUGGUCGGUACAAAGGGUUGCCAAGCCGCGAGGUGGAGCUAAUCCCAUAAAACCGAUCGUAGUCCGGAUCGCAGUCUGCAACUCGACUGCGUGAAGUCGGAAUCGCUAGUAAUCGUGAAUCAGAAUGUCACGGUGAAUACGUUCCCGGGCCUU